Gallus gallus (chicken) is the source of this 1233-nucleotide long non-coding RNA. NCBI's taxonomy places the organism in Eukaryota, Metazoa, Chordata, Aves, Galliformes, Phasianidae. The record is from Ensembl.
UUUAAGGGGUGACUGCCACUGGGGAAGUAUCUCUUUCUGGAGAUCCCUCCCUCUGGAGUUUUCUGCUGUGAGCCUAGGACACGGGCUCUUACUUCUCAACUAUUGAAUAAAAUAAUAAAGUUCCAUGGUAGAAGAAGCUGCCUCGGUGUAAUCUUUCAUCAUCAUCCAAUUUGCUACUUUUCUUCCCAACGUGGUUUUCAGAAGUGCUGACAAAGAACAGCUUGGUUACAAAGCUCCUUCCCAGGAUCAUGUCUGUGAGCAUGCUGCUGUUGUUGGCCCUGGUAUGUUGAUCUGCACGUGCCUUAAGGAGUUAAACUUCUCAAGGGUAACUUCCCUUCAAGACUGUACCUGAAUAGCUUUCUUCUACCUGCCUCUUUCACAACUUGCAGAUCUGAAUGGCUUGUUUUGAAGUCACAAAGCUUCUCCGUAUUCUGUGAGGAGCUAUGAACAUAAUUCCUCUGUGAAACUAUGCAGAUUGCUGAAGUGCUGUAAUCUUUCAGAAAACAGUGAAAUUUUGCUUUGGAAGUUCACUCCUGUUUGCUUGUAAGUUGCCAGUUCCAAAAAGACUUCAGUGUGCAUGUGCCCUCAUCAUCCUUUCAUCCCACCAGAUGGAAUGUGUUUGGGAUUUACAGCUGCUAAUUGGAUAAUUAUUGCAUUGUGAAGCUGCAGAGAAGGGUUAAUCCAAGACUUAUAAAAGAGAAAACAAAGAAAUCAGAGGGAAACCAUUUUUCUUUGUUUGUCAUCUCCUUCCUUUGUAGUAUCACUAUCUAAAAAAAGUUUUUCCAAGAGUAAAGCAAGCAGCUUUGCAAGCUCCUUGAUUCUUAAGGAUAGCAAUUAGGUUUUUUUUCUUGAGUACUGUCACGAGUAUAAUUACACUGUCAAGAGUUCACGUAUGUUCCUCCUGUUGCCAUGUGGUUCUGUUUCAGCUAUCUGAUUUUCACCUCUUAUGGGAUCUGCAACCCUUUUACAGUUGUAACGUUGCUACCAGCCCCAAAUAGUUGUGGUGUCCAACCCAUGGCUGCACAAACACCUGCCCACCACUGCCACUUUGUGCCAAAUGGAUGAACGCAACAGUCCUGUUCCCCAGAGGCUCCUGGCUUCUGCUUUGUAACAGGUGGUGGCACAGCGGGAUCUGAGCCAAGGAAUGUCACCAGAAAUUGAAAGUGGGAGAGGGAAGGGAGAAGAAGCUAUGUGAGAUUGUAAAGCAAAGAAAUAAAUACAUAGAUAAAACAU